AGAUUAAGUUAUUAAGGGCGCACGGUGAAUGCCUUGGCACUAGAAGCCGAUGAAGGACGUUACUAACGACGAUAUGCUUUGGGGAGCUGUAAGUAAGCUAUGAUCCAGAGAUUUCCGAAUGGGGGAACCCAACACGAGUUAUGUCGUGUUAUCGACAUGUGAAUUCAUAACAUGUCAGAAGGUAGACCCGGAGAACUGAAACAUCUUAGUACCCGGAGGAAGAGAAAGAAAAUUCGAUUCCCUGAGUAGCGGCGAGCGAAACGGGAAGAGCCCAAACCAAUGAGCUUGCUCAUUGGGGUUGUAGGACACUCUGUACGGAGUUACAAAUGUAUUUGUUAGACGAAGUAGUUGGAAAGCUACAUCAAAGAAGGUAAUAAUCCUGUAGUCGAAAAUGAAUACACUCUUGAGUGGAUCCUGAGUACGACGGAGCACGUGAAAUUCCGUCGGAAUCUAGGAGGACCAUCUCCUAAGGCUAAAUACUCUCUAGUGACCGAUAGUGAACCAGUACCGUGAGGGAAAGGUGAAAAGUACCCCGGAAGGGGAGUGAAAAAGAACUUGAAACCGUGUGCUUACAAGUAGUCAGAGCCCGUUAAUGGGUGAUGGCGUGCCUUUUGUAGAAUGAACCGGCGAGUUACGAUCUGAUGCAAGGUUAAGCAGUGAAUGUGGAGCCGUAGCGAAAGCGAGUCUGAAUAGGGCGAAUGAGUAUUUGGUCGUAGACCCGAAACCAGGUGAUCUACCCAUGGUCAGGUUGAAGUUCAGGUAACACUGAAUGGAGGACCGAACCGACUUACGUUGAAAAGUGAGCGGAUGAACUGUGGGUAGCGGAGAAAUUCCAAUCGAACUUGGAGAUAGCUGGUUCUCUCCGAAAUAGCUUUAGGGCUAGCCUCAAGUGAUGAUUAUUGGAGGUAGAGCACUGUUUGGACGAGGGGCCCCUCUCGGGUUACCGAAUUCAGACAAACUCCGAAUGCCAAUCAAUUUAACUUGGGAGUCAGAACGUGGGCGAUAAGGUUCAUGUUCGAAAGGGAAACAGCCCAGACCACCAGCUAAGGUCCCAAAAUAUAUGUUAAGUGGAAAAGGAUGUGGCGUUGCCCAGACAACUAGGAUGUUGGCUUAGAAGCAGCCAUCAUUUAAAGAGUGCGUAAUAGCUCACUAGUCGAGUGACGCUGCGCCGAAAAUGUACCGGGGCUAAACAUAUUACCGAAGCUGUGGAUUGUCCUUCGGACAAUGGUAGGAGAGCGUUCUAAGGGCGUUGAAGCAUGAUCGCAAGGACAUGUGGAGCGCUUAGAAGUGAGAAUGCCGGUGUGAGUAGCGAAAGACGGGUGAGAAUCCCGUCCACCGAUUGACUAAGGUUUCCAGAGGAAGGCUCGUCCGCUCUGGGUUAGUCGGGUCCUAAGCUGAGGCCGAUAGGCGUAGGCGAUGGAUAACAGGUUGAUAUUCCUGUACCACCCACUUUCGUUUUAAGCGAUGGGAGGACGCAGUAGGAUAGGCGAAGCGUGCGAUUGGAUGUACGUUCAAGCAGUAAGGCUGAGUGUUAGGCAAAUCCGGCACUCGUCAGGCUGAGCUGUGAUGAGGAGGGGGAAUUGUUCCCCUGAGUCGCUGAUUUCACACUGCCGAGAAAAGUCUCUAGCUAGAAAAGGGGUGCCCGUACCGCAAACCGACACAGGUAGUCAAGAUGAGAAUUCUAAGGUGAGCGAGCGAACUCUCGUUAAGGAACUCGGCAAAAUGACCCCGUAACUUCGGGAGAAGGGGUGCUCUCUGGGGUGUACGCUCCGGAGAGCCGCAGUGAAUAGGCCCAAGCGACUGUUUAUCAAAAACACAGGUCUCUGCUAAACCGUAAGGUGAUGUAUAGGGGCUGACGCCUGCCCGGUGCUGGAAGGUUAAG
Molecule: ribosomal RNA, 1882 nt
Filed under: Staphylococcus sp. HMSC071G07
Lineage: Bacteria; Bacillati; Bacillota; Bacilli; Caryophanales; Staphylococcaceae
Description: bacterial LSU rRNA
Rfam family: Bacterial large subunit ribosomal RNA
Source: RNAcentral